Molecule: long non-coding RNA, 221 nt
Filed under: Capsella rubella
Lineage: Eukaryota; Viridiplantae; Streptophyta; Magnoliopsida; Brassicales; Brassicaceae
Description: long non-coding RNA (CRUB_LNC004586)
Source: RNAcentral
AUCAUGAAAGACAUGCUAUAUAUGUUAUCCGUUUCAUGCAGAGCUUUUAUUAUGCUAGCUAUUCUGCAUUAUCUUAAUGUGUAUAUAUAUCUUCGAGGCCUUCCAUGCACUUUAUCAUUCAAGGGUACAAAUGAUAUCGGGAUCGAAAGACAAACAUUUUUUUGUGAAGUUGCAAGAAAAAAGAAAAAGGAAAAAAAGAGUAACGAUGCUUUUGAAUACUG